AUAGUGGACGUUACUCGCAGAAUAAGCACCGGCUAACUCUGUGCCAGCAGCCGCGGUAAUACAGAGGGUGCUAGCGUUAAUCGGAUUUACUGGGCGUAAAGCGUGCGUAGGCGGUUUGAUAAGUCGGUUGUGAAAGCCCCGGGCUCAACCUGGGAAUUGCGGCCGAUACUGUCAGACUAGAAAACGGUAGAGGGAGGCGGAACUCCAGGUGUAGCGGUGAAAUGCGUAGAUAUCUGGAAGAACACCGAUGGCGAAGGCAACCUCCUGGGCCUGUUUUGACGCUGAGGCACGAAAGCGUGGGUAGCAAACAGGAUUAGAUACCCUGGUAGUCCACGCCGUAAACGAUGAGAGCUAGUUGUCUGGCAGCAUGCUGUUAGGUGACGCAGCUAACGCAUUAAGCUCUCCGCCUGGGGAGUACGGCCGCAAG
Molecule: ribosomal RNA, 427 nt
Filed under: Chaetoceros affinis
Lineage: Eukaryota; Bacillariophyta; Thalassiosirophyceae; Chaetocerotales; Chaetocerotaceae
Description: partial Bacterial small subunit ribosomal RNA
Rfam family: Bacterial small subunit ribosomal RNA
Source: RNAcentral